Zingiber officinale is the source of this 927-nucleotide long non-coding RNA. RefSeq lists it as uncharacterized. The transcript is spliced from 2 exons. The record is from RefSeq and is a predicted model, not a curated record. Lineage: Eukaryota; Viridiplantae; Streptophyta; Magnoliopsida; Zingiberales; Zingiberaceae.
UAACUUCCUCUGCCAAAAAUCUCCCUUUGUGAAAACUCCACAAAAUUAAAACCUAGCCUCCAAAACUUAUCUCCGCCAAAACACCAUGAAAACCCAUCUCCGUCGAAGCCCUCCUCUGUGCCGCCCCCACCUAGCCUCCUCCGCCACUCCUCCGUGCCGAUUGCGACCUACCCUCCUCCGCCACUCCUUCGCGCCAUCACCUAGCUUCCUCCGCCACUCCUCCGCGCUGCCUAUGACCUAGCCUUUGCCACUCCUCCAUGUCGCCCGCGACCCAAUCCUAACCCUUCAAAGCCACCAAAGUUUUCAUGCCUCUUCCGACACCCCCACCCUGACAAUCGAGGACUCCUUAAAUGUCUCUCGGUUCUGACAUCUUCGAUCACUUCCUCGCCAACCUCACUUCCCAAAUCGUAGCUAGAAAGUCUCACGCACAGUCAACCAGCGCAACUUCUCAGGAAAAAAGUUCAAUUUUUUUUUUGGAUUUUUCAUCAUCUGUCACUAAUUUCAUGGAUUGUUUAUGGUAGGAGCUUGGUACUCGUUGCUUUCAAUCGAAGGCCGACUUUCUACUUGGAGUUGUUGAAGUGCAAGGGAGUAGACACAGAACAUAUGGAUAUAUGUAAAUAUAUACUUCUAUCAACGAAGAGUGAGCGCUAGUCCGUGAGGCAACAAGGAGCAUACUUCUGUCAACGAAGAGGAGGCAGUGAGCACCAAUCGGUGAGGCAACAAGGGGCAGCUGCACACGAGGUGGCAGCUACCCCGCUAGGCAACAAGCUACUGCUUCGAGUGUGGCAGGCUCGCGAGGCGGCCACCGCCUCGCCAGGAAUGAUCGGCCGCCUCAUGUUGUUGAAUUUUAAACAAAGCCCGUUGGCUUUAUAGAUAUUCCAUUGAUAGAUAAGUAGUAGCAAUUCAAUAUGUUUCAUAUUUAUCUUA